RNAcentral lists this ribosomal RNA (2889 nucleotides) under Klebsiella pneumoniae. RNAcentral's name for it is "bacterial LSU rRNA". It matches the Rfam family "Bacterial large subunit ribosomal RNA". The record is from RNAcentral. Lineage: Bacteria; Pseudomonadati; Pseudomonadota; Gammaproteobacteria; Enterobacterales; Enterobacteriaceae.
UUAAGCGACUAAGCGUACACGGUGGAUGCCCUGGCAGUCAGAGGCGAUGAAGGACGUGCUAAUCUGCGAAAAGCGUCGGUAAGGUGAUAUGAACCGUUAUAGCCGGCGAUGUCCGAAUGGGGAAACCCAGUGCAAUUCGUUGCACUAUCGUUAACUGAAUACAUAGGUUAACGAGGCGAACCGGGGGAACUGAAACAUCUAAGUACCCCGAGGAAAAGAAAUCAACCGAGAUUCCCCCAGUAGCGGCGAGCGAACGGGGAGCAGCCCAGAGUCUGAAUCAGCUUGUGUGUUAGUGGAACGGUCUGGAAAGUCCGACGGUACAGGGUGAUAGUCCCGUACACCAAAAUGCACAGGCUGUGAACUCGAAGAGUAGGGCGGGACACGUGGUAUCCUGUCUGAAUAUGGGGACCAUCCUCCAAGGCUAAAUACUCCUGACUGACCGAUAGUGAACCAGUACCGUGAGGGAAAGGCGAAAAGAACCCCGGCGAGGGAGUGAAAAGAACCUGAAACCGUGUACGUACAAGCAGUGGGAGCACCUUCGGGUGUGACUGCGUACCUUUUGUAUAAUGGGUCAGCGACUUAUAUUCUGUAGCAAGGUUAACCGUAUAGGGGAGCCGCAGGGAAACCGAGUCUUAACUGGGCGUUAAGUUGCAGGGUAUAGACCCGAAACCCGGUGAUCUAGCCAUGGGCAGGUUGAAGGUUGGGUAACACUAACUGGAGGACCGAACCGACUAAUGUUGAAAAAUUAGCGGAUGACUUGUGGCUGGGGGUGAAAGGCCAAUCAAACCGGGAGAUAGCUGGUUCUCCCGAAAGCUAUUUAGGUAGCGCCUCGUGAACUCAUCUUCGGGGUAGAGCACUGUUUCGGCUAGGGGUCAUCCCGACUUACCAACCCGAUGCAAACUACGAAUACCGAAGAAUGUUAUCACGGGAGACACACGGCGGUGCUAACGUCCGUCGUGAAGAGGAAACAACCCAGACCGCCAGCUAAGGUCCCAAAGUCAUGGUUAAGUGGGAAACGAUGUGGGAAGGCACAGACAGCCAGGAUGUUGGCUUAGAAGCAGCCAUCAUUUAAAGAAAGCGUAAUAGCUCACUGGUCGAGUCGGCCUGCGCGGAAGAUGUAACGGGGCUAAACCAUGCACCGAAGCUGCGGCAGCGACACUAUGUGUUGUUGGGUAGGGGAGCGUUCUGUAAGCCUGCGAAGGUGACCUGUGAGGGUUGCUGGAGGUAUCAGAAGUGCGAAUGCUGACAUAAGUAACGAUAAAGCGGGUGAAAAGCCCGCUCGCCGGAAGACCAAGGGUUCCUGUCCAACGUUAAUCGGGGCAGGGUGAGUCGACCCCUAAGGCGAGGCCGAAAGGCGUAGUCGAUGGGAAACAGGUUAAUAUUCCUGUACUUGGUGUUACUGCGAAGGGGGGACGGAGAAGGCUAUGUUAGCCGGGCGACGGUUGUCCCGGUUUAAGCAUGUAGGCUGAUUGUCCAGGCAAAUCCGGAUAAUCAAGGCUGAGGUGUGAUGACGAGGCACUACGGUGCUGAAGUAACAAAUGCCCUGCUUCCAGGAAAAGCCUCUAAGCAUCAGGUAACAUCAAAUCGUACCCCAAACCGACACAGGUGGUCAGGUAGAGAAUACCAAGGCGCUUGAGAGAACUCGGGUGAAGGAACUAGGCAAAAUGGUGCCGUAACUUCGGGAGAAGGCACGCUGGUGUGUAGGUGAAGUCCCUGCGGAUGGAGCUGAGACCAGUCGAAGAUACCAGCUGGCUGCAACUGUUUAUUAAAACACAGCACUGUGCAAACACGAAAGUGGACGUAUACGGUGUGACGCCUGCCCGGUGCCGGAAGGUUAAUUGAUGGGGUUAUCCGUAAGGAGAAGCUCUUGAUCGAAGCCCGGUAAACGGCGGCCGUAACUAUAACGGUCCUAAGGUAGCGAAAUUCCUUGUCGGGUAAGUUCCGACCUGCACGAAUGGCGUAAUGAUGGCCAGGCUGUCUCCACCCGAGACUCAGUGAAAUUGAACUCGCUGUGAAGAUGCAGUGUACCCGCGGCAAGACGGAAAGACCCCGUGAACCUUUACUAUAGCUUGACACUGAACAUUGAGCCUUGAUGUGUAGGAUAGGUGGGAGGCUUUGAAGCGUGGACGCCAGUCUGCGUGGAGCCAACCUUGAAAUACCACCCUUUAAUGUUUGAUGUUCUAACGUUGGCCCCUGACCGGGGUUGCGGACAGUGUCUGGUGGGUAGUUUGACUGGGGCGGUCUCCUCCCAAAGCGUAACGGAGGAGCACGAAGGUUAGCUAAUCCUUGGUCGGACAUCAGGAGGUUAGUGCAAUGGCAUAAGCUAGCUUGACUGCGAGCGUGACGGCGCGAGCAGGUGCGAAAGCAGGUCAUAGUGAUCCGGUGGUUCUGAAUGGAAGGGCCAUCGCUCAACGGAUAAAAGGUACUCCGGGGAUAACAGGCUGAUACCGCCCAAGAGUUCAUAUCGACGGCGGUGUUUGGCACCUCGAUGUCGGCUCAUCACAUCCUGGGGCUGAAGUAGGUCCCAAGGGUAUGGCUGUUCGCCAUUUAAAGUGGUACGCGAGCUGGGUUUAGAACGUCGUGAGACAGUUCGGUCCCUAUCUGCCGUGGGCGCUGGAGAAUUGAGGGGGGCUGCUCCUAGUACGAGAGGACCGGAGUGGACGCAUCACUGGUGUUCGGGUUGUCAUGCCAAUGGCACUGCCCGGUAGCUAAAUGCGGAAGAGAUAAGUGCUGAAAGCAUCUAAGCACGAAACUUGCCCCGAGAUGAGUUCUCCCUGAGACUUUAAGUCUCCUGAAGGAACGUUGAAGACGACGACGUUGAUAGGCCGGGUGUGUAAGCGCAGCGAUGCGUUGAGCUAACCGGUACUAAUGAACCGUGAGGCUUAACCU